CGAACGGUAACAGGAAGCAGCUUGCUGCUUCGCUGACGAGUGGCGGACGGGUGAGUAAUGUCUGGGAAGCUGCCUGAUGGAGGGGGAUAACUACUGGAAACGGUAGCUAAUACCGCAUAAUGUCGCAAGACCAAAGAGGGGGACCUUCGGGCCUCUUGCCAUCGGAUGUGCCCAGAUGGGAUUAGCUUGUUGGUGGGGUAACGGCUCACCAAGGCGACGAUCCCUAGCUGGUCUGAGAGGAUGACCAGCCACACUGGAACUGAGACACGGUCCAGACUCCUACGGGAGGCAGCAGUGGGGAAUAUUGCACAAUGGGCGCAAGCCUGAUGCAGCCAUGCCGCGUGUAUGAAGAAGGCCUUCGGGUUGUAAAGUACUUUCAGCGGGGAGGAAGGGAGUAAAGUUAAUACCUUUGCUCAUUGACGUUACCCGCAGAAGAAGCACCGGCUAACUCCGUGCCAGCAGCCGCGGUAAUACGGAGGGUGCAAGCGUUAAUCGGAAUUACUGGGCGUAAAGCGCACGCAGGCGGUUUGUUAAGUCAGAUGUGAAAUCCCCGGGCUCAACCUGGGAACUGCAUCUGAUACUGGCAAGCUUGAGUCUCGUAGAGGGGGGUAGAAUUCCAGGUGUAGCGGUGAAAUGCGUAGAGAUCUGGAGGAAUACCGGUGGCGAAGGCGGCCCCCUGGACGAAGA
This 687-nucleotide ribosomal RNA is filed under the name uncultured Pseudomonadota bacterium. Its description in RNAcentral is "bacterial SSU rRNA". It matches the Rfam family "Bacterial small subunit ribosomal RNA", at positions 63 to 739 of the family's 1533-position model. The record is from RNAcentral. Lineage: Bacteria; Pseudomonadati; Pseudomonadota.